AAGGCUUUAUGUUAAUUAAACAAAUAACCUUCAAAGUUAUAAAUAAAAGUUCAAAUCUUUUAAGCCUUA
RNAcentral lists this transfer RNA (69 nucleotides) under Asiagomphus septimus. RNAcentral describes it as "tRNA-Trp". It matches the Rfam family "tRNA". From Rfam's summary of the family: Transfer RNA (tRNA) molecules are approximately 80 nucleotides in length. Their secondary structure includes four short double-helical elements and three loops (D, anti-codon, and T loops). The record is from RNAcentral. Lineage: Eukaryota; Metazoa; Arthropoda; Insecta; Odonata; Aeshnidae.